AUUCCGUAGGUGAACCUGCGGAAGGAUCAUUAACAAAAAAAUAAAAUCCACCUUAGGAAAAACCCAGAGAAGAAAUUCAAAGGGUUUUUCCUUAAGCAAACAGUGAACUUUGUUAAAGUUUCUAACAAGAUAUACCAAUCUAAAUUUAUUUAGAAAGGUAUUUUCUUUUUAAAAACAAACUUGUUUAAUUUAUUUUGUCUUAUCCUUCUUAAACUAAUUGGUUUUAGGACCUUUUUGGAAAGAAUAUUUAAAUCAAAAGUAACAACUUUUAACAACGGAUAUCUUGGCUCUU
RNAcentral lists this unclassified non-coding RNA (292 nucleotides) under plant metagenome. RNAcentral's name for it is "partial contains small subunit ribosomal RNA, internal transcribed spacer 1, and 5.8S ribosomal RNA". The record is from RNAcentral.